GGGUCGUUAGCUUAGUCGGUAGAGCGGUUGACUCUUAAUCAAUUGGUCGCAGGUUCGAUCCCUGCACGACCCA
RNAcentral lists this transfer RNA (73 nucleotides) under Candidatus Hamiltonella defensa (Bemisia tabaci). RNAcentral describes it as "Hamiltonella endosymbiont of Bemisia tabaci tRNA". It matches the Rfam family "tRNA". Rfam says of the family: Transfer RNA (tRNA) molecules are approximately 80 nucleotides in length. Their secondary structure includes four short double-helical elements and three loops (D, anti-codon, and T loops). The record is from Rfam by way of RNAcentral. Lineage: Bacteria; Pseudomonadati; Pseudomonadota; Gammaproteobacteria; Enterobacterales; Enterobacteriaceae.